GCACUCCAUCACAUGGAGGUGGCUACGGUGGCACACCACCCAGCCACCCAACCCCAUCAACCCCAUCUCCUGGAAAUUGUGGAACUCCACCGAGCGUGCCCACUCCAUCAAGACCACCAAGUGAUCCUACUCCAACACCAUACACGCCUACACCAUCAACACCACCUAGUGUGCCUACUCCAUCAACACCUUCAAAUCCUCCUCCCAGCGGUGGUGGAUACUACCCCACUCCUCCAAGCACUGGUGGUAGUCCUCCAACACCUGUCAUUGAGACCCCACCGACAC
RNAcentral lists this long non-coding RNA (285 nucleotides) under Manihot esculenta (cassava). RNAcentral's name for it is "long non-coding RNA (MESC_LNC000530)". Lineage: Eukaryota; Viridiplantae; Streptophyta; Magnoliopsida; Malpighiales; Euphorbiaceae. The record is from RNAcentral.